This 585-nucleotide long non-coding RNA is filed under the name Olea europaea subsp. europaea. Lineage: Eukaryota; Viridiplantae; Streptophyta; Magnoliopsida; Lamiales; Oleaceae. The record is from RNAcentral.
UAAGAAAGAGAAGUUUUUCAUUUUUCAUUCUCUUGGUCUUCUUUACUGGAUCUGGCGUUUUUGAUCUCUCUAAUCCUCGCACCUCUGAAAAGUCAGAUCUAUGGUUAUUUCUGUGUUUUAUAUCAGAUCUUGGGCUUGAUUUGUAGUCUUCGGUCUGCUGUGAAGUCCGACUGUAGUGUUGGUUGUGUUCUUGACAGGAUAUUUUGGGGCCUUUUGGGUCGGAUAAGGACAUUACUGCACUUUGGUCUGGGUCUUGCAUUGAUUAGGGGUAGAUUAUUGCGAGAUCUAUUAUAGAUUGAUGAUCCAUUGUUGAGUUGGAGGUCUGAUUGUUGUAACCGAAAUUUUGCUCUCUUGGCGGGUUCUUGUGCAUAGUGAUGGGCUCUUACCUCUGAAACCUCAUAUUAGAUGUUUGCCGAACUGGGUGACCAUUCUUGCGUUGACACUUCACAGUUUUGUGCUUGGUGGUUUCGGUGUAUGUGAUUAUUUCGUGUAUUGGAGUCGAAAAUAUGUAGUUAAAAUUAAUUUUUAAUUUUGACUUUAAUAAAAAUUUAGAUAUUAAUUCCCACCAAAUAGGCGUCUUUAACC